GAGUUUGAUCCUGGCUCAGGACGAACGCUGGCGGCGUGCUUAACACAUGCAAGUCGCACGGGGCAGCAAUGCCCAGUGGCGAACGGGUGCGUAACACGUGAGGAACAUGACUUCCGGUGGGGGAUAGCCGGCCCAACGGCCGGGUAAUACCGCAUACGCUGCGCGAGGGGCAUCCCUCGUGUCGGAAAGCAGCAAUGCGCCGGAAAGGUGCCUCGCGGCCUAUCAGCUAGUUGGUGAGGUAAUGGCUCACCAAGGCGACGACGGGUAGCUGGUCUGAGAGGAUGAUCAGCCACAUUGGGACUGAGACACGGCCCAGACUCCUACGGGAGGCAGCAGUGGGGAAUAUUGCGCAAUGGACGAAAGUCUGACGCAGCGACGCCGCGUGAGGGAGGAAGCUCUUCGGGGUGUAAACCUCUGUUGCCGGGAACGAAACGCCAGAUUCGUCUGGC
This 449-nucleotide ribosomal RNA is filed under the name uncultured Gemmatimonadota bacterium. Its description in RNAcentral is "bacterial SSU rRNA". It matches the Rfam family "Bacterial small subunit ribosomal RNA", at positions 9 to 468 of the family's 1533-position model. Lineage: Bacteria; Pseudomonadati; Gemmatimonadota. The record is from RNAcentral.